GCGUCUGUAGCCCAGUUGGUUAGAGCACCACCUGACAUGGUAGUCGAUGGUUCGAGUCCAUUCAGACGCACCA
This 73-nucleotide transfer RNA is filed under the name Salmonella enterica subsp. enterica serovar Weltevreden. Its description in RNAcentral is "tRNA-Ser". It matches the Rfam family "tRNA". Rfam says of the family: Transfer RNA (tRNA) molecules are approximately 80 nucleotides in length. Their secondary structure includes four short double-helical elements and three loops (D, anti-codon, and T loops). The record is from RNAcentral. Lineage: Bacteria; Pseudomonadati; Pseudomonadota; Gammaproteobacteria; Enterobacterales; Enterobacteriaceae.